Molecule: ribosomal RNA, 205 nt
Filed under: uncultured bacterium
Lineage: Bacteria
Description: partial 16S ribosomal RNA
Rfam family: Bacterial small subunit ribosomal RNA
Source: RNAcentral
CGCGCAGGCGGUCAUUUAAGUCUGGUGUUUAAUCCUGGGGCUCAACCCCAGUUCGCAUCGGAAACUGGAUGACUUGAGUGUAAGAGAGGAAAGUGGAAUUCCACGUGUAGCGGUGAAAUGCGUAGAGAUGUGGAGGAACACCAGUGGCGAAGGCGACUUUCUGGCUUAUAACUGACGCUGAGGCGCGAAAGCGUGGGAGCAAACA